Molecule: long non-coding RNA, 1268 nt
Organism: Oncorhynchus tshawytscha (Chinook salmon)
Lineage: Eukaryota; Metazoa; Chordata; Actinopteri; Salmoniformes; Salmonidae
Source: Ensembl
UGUUGAUGUCCUGCAGUAGCUAGCUUGUGUUGAUGUCCUGCAGUAGCUAGCUUGUGUUGAUGUCCUGCAGUAGCUAGCUGGCUAACUUGGUCUGUUUGUGUUGAUGUCCUGCAGUAGCUAGCUUGUGUUGAUGUCCUGCAGUAGUUAGCUUGUGUUGAUGUCCUGCAGUAGCUAGCUUGUGUUGAUGUCCUGCAGUAGCUAGCUGGCUAACUUGGUCUGUUUGUGUUGAUGUCCUGCAGUAGCUAGCUGGCUAACUUGGUCUGUUUGUGUUGAUGUCCUGCAGUAGCUAGCUUGUGUUGAUGUCCUGCAGUAGCUAGCUGGCUAACUUGGUCUGUUUGUGUUGAUGUCCUGCAGUAGCUAGCUUGUGUUGAUGUCCUGCAGUAGCUAGCUUGUGUUGAUUUCCUGCAGUAGCUAGCUGGCUAAUUUGGUCUGUUUGUGUUGAUUUCCUGCAGUAGCUAGCUUGUGUUGAUGUCCUGCAGUAGCUAGCUGGCUAACUUGGUCUGUUUGUGUUGAUGUCCUGCAGUAGCUAGCUGGCUAACUUGGUCUGUUUGUGUUGAUUUCCUGCAGUAGCUAGCUUGUGUUGAUGUCCUGCAGUAGCUAGCUUGUGUUGAUGUCCUGCAGUAGCUAGCUGGCUAACUUGGUCUGUUUGUGUUGAUGUCCUGCAGUAGCUAGCUUGUGUUGAUGUCCUGCAGUAGCUAGCUGGCUAACUUGGUCUGUUUGUGUUGAUUUCCUGCAGUAGCUAGCUGGCUAACUUGGUCUGUUUGUGUUGAUGUCCUGCAGUAGCUAGCUUGUGUUGAUGUCCUGCAGUAGCUAGCUGGCUAACUUGGUCUGUUUGUGUUGAUGUCCUGCAGUAGUUAGCUGGCUAACUUGCCCCUUUCCUAAGCCAUGGAUGCAGACUUAGUUUUGACUUAAUUCUCUGUACAGCUACAGCGACUGACCGCUGAAGCGCUUAGGGGGCUGGGACCAGCCUCUGCGACAACAAUCAACGAUGGGCUGGGUGAGUCUAAACCACGCCCAGUCUCUACUCUGACAGGCCGGCUCGGAAGCAGGAACUUUUUCUGUCAGAGUAUAUUUAUAAUAUAUUUGUCAAGAACAAGUUAGUUCUCUGUUUGCCCUGCGAGGUGGGACAGAGAGCCCGUAUAUACGAAAAUUGCAUUUACCAAUUAUUGCUUAACUAAUAAAAAAUAGCAUAGCAUACAAUCGGUGACUCAUUGUCAUAUUUAUCCUGAUACCAGAUUCGAAUUGACGCAACUCUAACACAGGUCAAU